UACAGAGGGGGCAAGCGUUAUUCGGAAUUAUUGGGCGUAAAGGGCGCGUAGGCGGCUUUGCAAGUGACGGGUGAAAGCCCUCGGCUUAACCGAGGAACUGCCUGUCAGACUGUAAGGCUUGAGACCGGGAGAGGUGAGUGGAAUUCCCAGUGUAGCGGUGAAAUGCGUAGAUAUUGGGAGGAACACCAGUGGCGAAGGCGGCGCACUGGACCGGAACUGACGCUGAGGUGCGAAAGCGUGGGGAGCAAACAGG
This 253-nucleotide ribosomal RNA is filed under the name uncultured bacterium. RNAcentral describes it as "partial 16S ribosomal RNA". It matches the Rfam family "Bacterial small subunit ribosomal RNA", at positions 524 to 776 of the family's 1533-position model. The record is from RNAcentral.